This 453-nucleotide ribosomal RNA is filed under the name uncultured bacterium. RNAcentral's name for it is "bacterial SSU rRNA". It matches the Rfam family "Bacterial small subunit ribosomal RNA", at positions 340 to 786 of the family's 1533-position model. The record is from RNAcentral.
UACGGGAGGCAGCAGUGGGGAAUAUUGCACAAUGGGCGCAAGCCUGAUGCAGCCAUGCCGCGUGUAUGAAGAAGGCCUUCGGGUUGUAAAGUACUUUCAGCGGGGAGGAAGGCGAUGCGGUUAAUAACCGCGUCGAUUGACGUUACCCGCAGAAGAAGCACCGGCUAACUCCGUGCCAGCAGCCGCGGUAAUACGGAGGGUGCAAGCGUUAAUCGGAAUUACUGGGCGUAAAGCGCACGCAGGCGGUCUGUUAAGUCAGAUGUGAAAUCCCCGGGCUUAACCUGGGAACUGCAUUUUGAACUGGCAGGCUUGAGUCUUGUAGAGGGGGUAGAAUUCCAGGUGUAGCGGUGAAAUGCGUAGAGAUCUGGAGGAAUACCGGUGGCGAAGGCGGCCCCUGGGACAAGACUGACGCUCAGGGUGCGAAAGCGUGGGGAGCAAACAGGAUUAGAUACC